RNAcentral lists this ribosomal RNA (377 nucleotides) under Diacyclops scanloni. RNAcentral's name for it is "partial 12S ribosomal RNA". Lineage: Eukaryota; Metazoa; Arthropoda; Copepoda; Cyclopoida; Cyclopidae. The record is from RNAcentral.
CACUUUAAAAUAAGUUCUACUAUAAAAUUUAUUAAAUUUAAUUUCAAAAUCACUGUUAUAAGAAAUAAUUAAAAAUUAAAUUAUAAGUAUGAAAUCAAAUACAAAUUUGGGUUAGAAUCCAAGUAUGAAGAUUAAUUUAAGUAAUAGAAAUAAACUUAAACUGUGUGGCAGUUACUUAUUCUUCUUAGAGAAUUUUGAUUGUUAAAUUGAUACUCCACAAUUUUAUUUAAAAAUCGUAGUCUGUGUGUGGUUGUUUAAAAAUAAAUUUUAAUUUAAAUUAGUAUUCAAAUAACAUACAGCUUGAUUAAUGUUAAUUGAAAUGCAGUAAUUAAGCUUACAAAGAAAUAGGAUUUAAUAGUAGGCUCAAAAAAUCGAAU